RNAcentral lists this long non-coding RNA (534 nucleotides) under Homo sapiens (human). RNAcentral's name for it is "non-protein coding lnc-PRRT2-1:7". Lineage: Eukaryota; Metazoa; Chordata; Mammalia; Primates; Hominidae. The record is from RNAcentral.
GGAAUUCCCAACUCGGACAGGCCCAGAAUAGCCCCUGGAGGUUUGAAGAGGCCCCGUCAGAAACCCAAACAGAGCUGCCAGACGGGAAUGCCGCCCUCCCCCGUCCACACUCAUGGCCGCUGCUCAGCCCCCAGCCGCAUCCCUCCCCACGCGCGUCACGGCCCUGAGGCCAUGGAAUCCCGGUGACCGUUGGCGGGAGGGGCCGGGGACUUAAGAAGGAGGCGUCUCUCCUGGAGGCGCGCGUGAGAAGGGGCAGGGAGGGGGCGCGAGUGGUCCCCGGGCCGGUUGCCUGGGUAACGCGUGGCUCCCUUGGGCUGGCGGGAGGGGCCGGAGGCUCGCGAGGGGCGGGGGCGGCGACGGCGGCGGAGCGUAGGGGAGGGGACCGGAGAGGAGGGGAUGAGCACACGGGAGAGGAGAAGAGGGAGACCCGCCGCCUCCCUCCCUCCCUAGCUGACUUGCUCCCUCCCGGGCUGCGGCUGCUGCAAAAGCCAGCAGCGGCAGCGGGAGCUGUCCGGAGGCCGGCGUCGAGGUGAG